GGUCUUGUAGUGAAAUUCAUGUUGAGUUGCAAGCUCAUCGAUGUACAUUAAAGAUGUACCGAGGCCU
RNAcentral lists this transfer RNA (67 nucleotides) under Tringa tobata (red-necked phalarope). RNAcentral's name for it is "Phalaropus lobatus (red-necked phalarope) tRNA-Cys". Lineage: Eukaryota; Metazoa; Chordata; Aves; Charadriiformes; Scolopacidae. The record is from RNAcentral.